GAUGAACGCUGGCGGCGUGCCUAAUACAUGCAAGUCGAACGAACAGACGAGGAGCUUGCUCCUCUGACGUUAGCGGCGGAGGGGUGAGUAACACGUGGAUAACCUACCUAUAAGACGGGGAUAACUUCGGGAAACCGGAGCUAAUACCGGAGAAUAUAUUGAACCGCAUGGUUCAAUAGUGAAAGACGGUGUUGCUGGCACUUAUAGAUGGAUCCGCGCCGCAUUAGCUAGUUGGGAAGGUAACAGGUUACCAAGGGAACGAUGGGUAGCCGAGCCGAGAGGGUGGUCGGCCACCUUGGAAGGUAACCAGCGUCCAGGACACUGAGGGAGGGCGCAGUCGGGUACCUUCCGCAAUAGGGGGAAAUCUUGCGGAAGAAACGCGAGCGAGUGGUGGAAGCUCUCCGUUCGGAAAAACUUGUUUUUUGGGAAGAACCAAUGUGUAAGUAACUAUGCACGUCUUGACGGUACCUAAUCAGAAAGCCACGGCUAACUACGUG
This 497-nucleotide ribosomal RNA is filed under the name uncultured bacterium. Its description in RNAcentral is "partial 16S ribosomal RNA". It matches the Rfam family "Bacterial small subunit ribosomal RNA", at positions 28 to 507 of the family's 1533-position model. The record is from RNAcentral.